Stegodyphus mimosarum is the source of this 73-nucleotide non-coding RNA. NCBI's taxonomy places the organism in Eukaryota, Metazoa, Arthropoda, Arachnida, Araneae, Eresidae. The record is from Rfam.
GCCUUCGUAGUGUAGAGGUCAGCACGCUGGGCGCAUAUUCCAGAGGCCCGUGGUUCGAGUCCCGGCGAAGGCG